RNAcentral lists this long non-coding RNA (1273 nucleotides) under Diabrotica virgifera virgifera (western corn rootworm). RNAcentral's name for it is "uncharacterized LOC126889316". The record is from RNAcentral. Lineage: Eukaryota; Metazoa; Arthropoda; Insecta; Coleoptera; Chrysomelidae.
GUUGAGUGAUACUCAUCGUCACUUUAUAAUAUGCAUUUCAAAAUAUUUAUUAGGAAAAGCAACUCCCAAUAAGUAUGCAACCAAAUAUACUUCAGCGUGUAGUAGGUAUUGCCUAGAUUUUAAUAAGUAUUUGGACAAAGUUGGUGACUUUUAGGGGAAUUCGUAAUCUAGAAGUUGGUCCGUGUGUCGAUACGGCUUCCGGCUGACGUGUUUGUCAUUGCUUCGGGGAGAGCAGGCCAGCACUUAAUUUUCAACUCUUGUACAGAAGACAUCUGAUCUCCCGAUCUCCGGUGGCCAUUGCCAGAAUUUACCUUUUAGUUGAAAAAGUUAUAAGAUUAAUUUACGUUGGAGGAAGUUUUUAUUUUGUUUUGGGUUUUGUGAAGAGUUUGAGGAGAAGAGUUUUUGUUUCCAAUACUUUUUUGAAGAGCAAUGGCCACUGGAGAAAAAGGAAAUUAAGUCACCAUUUUUGUUUUUGUUGGAUAUGGAAUAAGCAAUCAGUUUGGGGUUUCUUUUGGUGUGGAUUGGGAUUUUAUGUUUUUUUGGAAUCAACAUUGAUUUUUACCGGUACUAGUAAGUACCUCCUCAUCGGACCAUCCAUAUUGUGGUUGAGUAUCUCCCCAGGAUUGGAAACCGGAGGAUACCUACCUGGCUCUCCCAUCGUCAACCUCUCAAGGAGUUUGGAGAAGCCUCCGUCCCUACUUUUGUAGAAGCGACAGGUUUUUAUUAUAAAAUAUACAUUUUCAAUUCUUUUAAAUAACUGCUUGCAAUAUUAAUAUUUUUUCCAAUAAAUUAGAAAUAACCUUAAUAAUCAUAUAAACUCAUUUUUUCUAAAAUCACCAUUUGUAAUAUUCAAUCAUUUUUUUUCAACAAGUUUUAUCGUUCACUGUUCGUACCAUUCAUUUAAAAUAGUCCGGGAAUUAUAAACUAUAUGUUAAGGUGUUGUAUACAAUAUCUACGGUUUUAAUUCCUAUUUAAUAACCUUUAUUUCAGUUAACAGGUAUGGUACUCAGGGUUAUCACUUAGGUCAGAUACGAGAUUGUCAACCAAUACUGUAACCAAUAUCCAUAAUACAUUUUUGUUUAAGUAAAUAACUUGUGAUUCCCAAUAACUGUCUUGAUCUAACUAAUUAAGUUCUUUGUUUUAAUUUUUAUUGCGAUCUCAUUGUCGACAGGAGCGUACUUUUCUAGUACAACAGGUACUGAUUAGCUAGUUUGUAUAAAAUUGUAUAUAGGGGUUAUAGGUUUUUUUUCAUUAAAUUUGUUGGUUGUACAUA